RNAcentral lists this ribosomal RNA (600 nucleotides) under Micrococcus sp. Y6. RNAcentral's name for it is "bacterial SSU rRNA". It matches the Rfam family "Bacterial small subunit ribosomal RNA", at positions 44 to 655 of the family's 1533-position model. The record is from RNAcentral. Lineage: Bacteria; Bacillati; Actinomycetota; Actinomycetes; Micrococcales; Micrococcaceae.
GUGCUUAACACAUGCAAGUCGAACGAUGAAGCCCAGCUUGCUGGGUGGAUUAGUGGCGAACGGGUGAGUAACACGUGAGUAACCUGCCCUUAACUCUGGGAUAAGCCUGGGAAACUGGGUCUAAUACCGGAUAGGAGCGUCCACCGCAUGGUGGGUGUUGGAAAGAUUUAUCGGUUUUGGAUGGACUCGCGGCCUAUCAGCUUGUUGGUGAGGUAAUGGCUCACCAAGGCGACGACGGGUAGCCGGCCUGAGAGGGUGACCGGCCACACUGGGACUGAGACACGGCCCAGACUCCUACGGGAGGCAGCAGUGGGGAAUAUUGCACAAUGGGCGCAAGCCUGAUGCAGCGACGCCGCGUGAGGGAUGACGGCCUUCGGGUUGUAAACCUCUUUCAGUAGGGAAGAAGCGAAAGUGACGGUNCCUGCAGAAGAAGCACCGGCUAACUACGUGCCAGCAGCCGCGGUAAUACGUAGGGUGCGAGCGUUAUCCGGAAUUAUUGGGCGUAAAGAGCUCGUAGGCGGUUUGGUCGCGUCUGUCGUGAAAGUCCGGGGCUUAACCCCGGAUCUGCGGUGGGGUACGGNCAGACUANANUGCAGUANG